GAUGAACGCUAGCGACAGGCCUAACACAUGCAAGUCGAGGGGUAUAGUAGCAAUACUAGAGACCGGCGCACGGGUGCGUAACGCGUAUGUAACCUGCCUCACACUGGGGGAUAGCCUUCCGAAAGGGAGAUUAAUACCGCAUAAUAAUAUUGUCCUGCCUGGGAUGGUAUUUAAAGCUUCGGUGGUGUGAGAUGGACAUGCGUAUGAUUAGCUAGUUGGCGGGGUAACGGCCCACCAAGGCGACGAUCAUUAGGGGUUCUGAGAGGAAGAUCCCCCACACUGGUACUGAGACACGGACCAGACUCCUACGGGAGGCAGCAGUGAGGAAUAUUGGUCAAUGGGCGCAAGCCUGAACCAGCCAUGUCGCGUGCAGGAAGACGGCCCUAUGGGUUGUAAACUGCUUUUGUAUGGGAAGAAACGACNGGU
Molecule: ribosomal RNA, 426 nt
Filed under: uncultured bacterium
Lineage: Bacteria
Description: bacterial SSU rRNA
Rfam family: Bacterial small subunit ribosomal RNA
Source: RNAcentral